UUUGCCCUCUGGGACAGCAUUUUCAAUUUGCAAGCGGAGGGUCUGGGGUUCGAAUCCCCAAGCCUCCACCA
RNAcentral lists this transfer RNA (71 nucleotides) under Deinococcus radiopugnans ATCC 19172. RNAcentral describes it as "tRNA-OTHER". The record is from RNAcentral. Lineage: Bacteria; Thermotogati; Deinococcota; Deinococci; Deinococcales; Deinococcaceae.